AAAAUAAGUAACCUGUCUUAUGGCGUUAAACAUCUUUUUGUAUCGUUUCUCUCAAUUCAAAAAGUUUCGUAUUCACGAAAUUGAAAUCAAGAAAAAAAUAGUAAAUAAUUAUUUUCUUAUUCGUUAAAAUGACAAACCGAAUCAUACCGAUCAAAUCGAAUCGUCAUCAUCGAUCCCUUAUACCGAUCGGUUUAACAUCUAAUUCUUAAAGAACGCUAAAUUUAUCGCCGUCCGUUGCUUUAUUCCGCGGCGCUGACACUGAUCGUAACGUUCGCCGGUUUUUCGCAUCGGACAUCGU
This 298-nucleotide long non-coding RNA is filed under the name Capsella grandiflora. Its description in RNAcentral is "long non-coding RNA (CGRA_LNC000804)". The record is from RNAcentral. Lineage: Eukaryota; Viridiplantae; Streptophyta; Magnoliopsida; Brassicales; Brassicaceae.